RNAcentral lists this transfer RNA (64 nucleotides) under Spurilla braziliana. RNAcentral describes it as "tRNA-Met". The record is from RNAcentral. Lineage: Eukaryota; Metazoa; Mollusca; Gastropoda; Nudibranchia; Aeolidiidae.
AAAUAGGUAAGCUAAGUCUAAGCUAUUGGGCUCAUAACCCAACAAUGGAGUAAAUCCCUUAUUU